UGGUGGAGUGAUUUGUCAGGUUAAUUCCCUUAACGAACGAGACCUUAACCUGCUAAAUAGAAGGCUCUAAACUCUAGAGCUAUUCUUCUUAGAGGGACUACUGAGUCUAAAUCAGUGGAAGUUUGAGGCAAUAACA
Molecule: ribosomal RNA, 136 nt
Filed under: uncultured eukaryote
Lineage: Eukaryota
Description: partial 18S ribosomal RNA
Rfam family: Eukaryotic small subunit ribosomal RNA
Source: RNAcentral